Long non-coding RNA from Solanum tuberosum (potato), 1196 nucleotides. RefSeq lists it as uncharacterized. The transcript is spliced from 3 exons. NCBI's taxonomy places the organism in Eukaryota, Viridiplantae, Streptophyta, Magnoliopsida, Solanales, Solanaceae. The record is from RefSeq and is a predicted model, not a curated record.
CAAGUAUAACCAAAGAAUUUAAUGUACAUGAUUUCACAAGUAUAAGCAAAGGUGAAUGUAAUGUGCAUGAUUCCUCAAGUAUAAGCAGAGGUGAAUGUAAGGUAUGUGAUUUCACAAGUUUAAUCAAAGGUUGUCUCUUAUCCUUAUCUAUACAGAAUAAUUGUGCAUUUGUACCUGAUUUCAGUUGAGCUCUUAUUUUACAUAUGGUUACUUUAUGCCUCGCAUAUUCAGUACAUUCUUUUGUACUGACGUCCCUUCUGGGGGAUGUUGUUUUCAUGCCACAGGUACAGGUACUCAAGCUAAUAAAAUAUCUCAAUCUAAGCAUAGGAUACUCAACGAUCUUUGAUGGAUAGCAAAACAUGGUGCCCUUUCAAGAUGCGAAGAACAAUAGAUAGAGUAUUGCAUUGGGGGCAAUCGUGUAUUUUUACAAAAUACAUCUAUUACAGGCUUCAUGAGAUUUGGGCAGAAAGGAAGUUGUGCUCUUGAUGUGUUGGGCCUUAACAUACAGAGAACUGACCAAAAAACAUAAGAUAUGCUAGAGUCGACAUUAUUUUGAGCUACACCACCCAUUCGAGGACGAAUGAUCCAAAGGGGGAUGAUAUAACACUCUGUACAUUUCAACAUGUAUACGACUAAGUUAAUACUGAUGAAAGUAUUUAAACUCGAGAAGUGAGGUGGUUAUUAAGCUUAAAUUUUAGAGUUGAGUGUUAAGUUUAAAUUAAGAGAUUAGAAUUUGGAAAAUCAGAUAAAAUAAGUGAGGUGCUUGCUUGACUAAAUUAAGCAAGUAAGUGCAUCACCUACUUAGACUUUUUGACCAACUUAAUAAGAGUAAGUAGCUGCAUCACCUACCAUAGCUAAAUAGAUUUAAUAAGAAGAAGUAGUUGCAUCACCUAGUUUGACAUUUCAGCAGCUUAAAAAUGGCCAAGUAGGUGGAUCACCUACUUGGAAAUUUUUGGACAAAAAUGAAGAAGAUAGAGGCGAUGGAGUGCCAGCAAUUAUAGGGUCAUAUUUGGCUCAUUUAUGUCUUAAUUCUUGCAUAGAAAAAAAUGAAUUUAUCUCCAGCACUCUUUCUUUCCCUCAAUGAUUAUCACAGCCACCUCAAAAAUACUCCAUGGGUUCUCGAAGAAACCCUCUUAAUUUCUAUUCAAGGUAAGUAGAAACCUUAUGGUUUAGCUUGAUUGUCCCAUGAGAUUUCA